GAUUCCUCUUUUAGAAUGAAAGACAAACAACAAUUGUUGCUAUCCAAGUCACCUGCCCUGCCUCUGUGGUUGGACUAACACCCCUGAAUGGGAGUUUUUGUCUCAUGGUCAAUUACCAAUAACCUUGAACCUGAGGAAAAGCUGGUUUAGAUACGAACUUGAAGACAUGGAGAAAUCUUAAACAAUGCUGCCCACUACAGUUUAAGUAGAAAAACUGAAGAGAGAAGAUAAGCCAGCAUGACUGAAGUAUCACAGCAUUCUGAGAGAUGGGAGGCAGGAUAUGCCAAGAAGGACAAACCACCAUCACUACCUUCAUUUACUUCCCCUUAAGACUCUGAUGAAGACAGCCUGAGGGGAAAAAAAGGCAAAGACAAAGAGACUUGGGGGUUCCAUUAGCUCCUAGAUCACCUGUCCUGCUUCCAGUCUUUCCACCCUACCCCAUGGCCAUCAUUGAAGGGAGCAACUCAUGAAGAAGAGCCUGGCAUCCUCACCAACCACCCAAAAUCAACUUCCAUCACCAAGAAGGCACUGUGGUCCCCACCUCCUCAGUAGCCAACAGUUACUUAAUAUAUGGG
This is a non-coding RNA of Phascolarctos cinereus (koala), 575 nucleotides long. Lineage: Eukaryota; Metazoa; Chordata; Mammalia; Diprotodontia; Phascolarctidae. The record is from RefSeq and is a predicted model, not a curated record.